CUUCGGAAAUCAUUGUGGGUGAGCACACCCAUUUUUCGGCGAACCGUGGACUUUGGGAGCUUUUUCCAGUCAUCUCCGAUCGAGUUACGGUUUUUGGAAGGUAAAAUUGCUAGUGGAGAAAUUCUAUAUCCUUAUCCGCGCGAAUCUUCUGCUAAGGAAUAUUUGACUUAGAAUCAAGGCACCUAAUCCCGGCGUCAAGACACUUCCGCAGCAGCAUCGUCGAGUCAUCUCGGGGUAGGACCCACUCUUUUGUUCAUUCAAUCUUAUC
Molecule: non-coding RNA, 268 nt
Organism: Malus domestica (apple)
Lineage: Eukaryota; Viridiplantae; Streptophyta; Magnoliopsida; Rosales; Rosaceae
Source: RefSeq, a predicted model, not a curated record